GGCCAACCUAGAAGAUUCCAUCUCAGACUGAGUCCUGGGUACCUGGCACUGAGGAGCCAUUGUGAACACACAUCCACACACGCUCAUGCACAGACAUGUGACAUACAUAAACACACACACACCCAUGCACAGACAUGCACACACACAUGCUUACAUACAGGCAUAGAUGCCCGUCCCCAGCCUCCUGGGUGCAACCGCUUUCCUUCCUGCUUCCUCCCACAUCCCAGCUGUCUUCUUCUCUGUCCAGCAGCAGAAAUUGGGCUUUGAGACAUGUCUAAGCCUGAUUGCGAGCUGUGUAGCCCAAACCCUGCCUGCGGACACAGUCUCCACACCUGUUCAGACCUUCCACCAGCCCCUCCUACCUCCCUUCAGACACACCCAGCCUACCCUGCCUCAUUGUGGGCCCUCACAUCUUCAGAGCCCUGUUCUGGGCCGCCCUCCCAUGCAUGCGGAACACUGCGUGACUUAAGGGUCAGGGUGUUCCCUUCAUGGCCUCGCUGUCCUGAGCACCCCGCAGUUUCAUGGUUUUCUCCAUUCCCUGCUGGGCUUUCUUUGCCAAGUGAAUGUGCUUUAGUCCUCUCUCAGCUCCUGAACUCUGCUCUGUCUCUCGCAGGACCAACCGUGUGUACCGGCAGGUCUUAAAGCGGUUCCCUGCUGCCUCCCAGGGCCUCGUUCAGGGUCAGCACCUGCCAGGUGCUCAGAAAACACUUAUUAAAAAACAGGAGAAAAGGGAAAGAGCAGAACGGAACAGAGAUGGGGAACCUGUCUAUUACUGCUUAGAUCCAAAUGUCCCCAACAGUCUAGAGCCAUACCACCCCAAAUGUGCCUGAUCUCAUCUGAAAUGUCACCCAGAAGUUCACCUGGCAAAGAUUUGGUUCCCAUGCAGCAGUGUUCAGAGGUGGGACCUCUGGUAACAGGAUCCCAAGGGCCCUGUCCCCAUCAAUGGACCAACCCAUGAUAAACUCACAGCUUCAAUGGCUCCUAGAAAAUAGAAAUAUAGAGAGGGUGGGACCCUGUUGGAGGAAGUCUAUUAUCAGGGACACGCCCUUGAAGGGUAUGCUGCCCCCAGAUAACUUCCUCUUGCUUCCUCUCUGGUUCCUAGCUGCAGUGAGGGAAGGAGUUGAGUUCCAGCAAGCUGGCCCUCCUGGGAUGCUGCACCUUGAAGUGGGCCAGAACCAAUGGAGUCAAGGGACCAUGGUGAAACCAGAAACCAAAAUAAACCUUCCCUCCUCC
RNAcentral lists this long non-coding RNA (1233 nucleotides) under Rattus norvegicus (Norway rat). RNAcentral describes it as "long non-coding RNA NONRATT020004". Lineage: Eukaryota; Metazoa; Chordata; Mammalia; Rodentia; Muridae. The record is from RNAcentral.